Molecule: ribosomal RNA, 427 nt
Filed under: uncultured bacterium
Lineage: Bacteria
Description: bacterial SSU rRNA
Rfam family: Bacterial small subunit ribosomal RNA
Source: RNAcentral
GGACCCGCACAAGCGGUGGAGCAUGUGGUUUAAUUCGAUGCAACGCGAAAAACCUUACCUACACUUGACAUACUUCGAAUUUUCUAGAGAUAGAUUAGUGCCUUCGGGAACGGAGAUACAGGUGCUGCAUGGCUGUCGUCAGCUCGUGUCGUGAGAUGUUGGGUUAAGUCCUAUAACGAGCGCAACCCUUACCCUUAUUUGCCAGCGGUUAGGCCGGGAACUAUAAGGGAACUGCCGGUAAUAAGCCGGAGGAAGGUGGGGACGACGUCAAGUCAUCAUGGCCCUUACGUGUAGGGCUACACACGUGCUACAAUGGGAGAUACAGACGGUUGCUAAAGCGCGAGCUGGAGCCAAUCCGACAAACCUAGUCGUAGUCCGGAUUGGAGUCUGCAACUCGACUCCAUGAAGUCGGAAUUGCUAGUAAUCG